CCAAUAGCGUAUAUUAAAGUUGUUGCAGUUAAAAAGCUCGUAGUUGAAUUUCGGAAUCUGUCCAUUGGUCGGGCUUCACUGUCCGUACUGGUGUGGUGGGUUCUUACCUUCUGAAUAACCAGCAUGCCAUUUAUUUGGUGCGUUGGGGAAGCAGGACUAUUACCUUGAAAAAAUUAGAGUGCUCAAAGCAGGCUAGUGCCUGAAUCCAUUAGCAUGGAAUAAUAAAAUAGGACGGCAUGGUUCUAUUUUGUUGGUUUCUAGGAUCACCGUAAUGAUUAAUAGGGAUAGUUGGGGGCAUUAGUAUUCAAUUGUCAGAGGUGAAAUUCUUGGAUUUAUUGAAGACUAACUUCUGCGAAAGCAUUUGCCAAGGAUGUUUUCAUUAAUCAAGAACGAAAGUUAGGGGAUCGAAGACGAUCAGAUACCGUCGUAGUCUUAACCAUAAACUAUGCCGACUAGGGAUCGGACGAUGUUAAUUUUUUAAUGACUCGUUCGGCGCCUUACG
This 502-nucleotide ribosomal RNA is filed under the name uncultured Glomeromycotina. Its description in RNAcentral is "partial small subunit ribosomal RNA". It matches the Rfam family "Eukaryotic small subunit ribosomal RNA", at positions 591 to 1092 of the family's 1831-position model. The record is from RNAcentral. Lineage: Eukaryota; Fungi; Glomeromycota.